Bombina bombina (fire-bellied toad) is the source of this 368-nucleotide long non-coding RNA. RefSeq lists it as uncharacterized. The record is from RefSeq and is a predicted model, not a curated record. The transcript has 4 exons. Lineage: Eukaryota; Metazoa; Chordata; Amphibia; Anura; Bombinatoridae.
CACUGCAGCUAAGGACCCUUGAAGUGAACGCACAGAAGUCACGUGACUGUAGUGACAUCAUCAGUCAUUCAGCCGGGACUGGAUCUAGCUGCUACCAGGUGUCACAUUUAUAGCAUCUAACUCAGUCACUGACAAAGAACAAGAUGAAGAAAUACAGGAAGCAGAUAGCAGAGCAGUUCCUGAGUCAGGCCCUGGGCAUCAUCUGCCUGCUGACCGGAGAGGAAUACACCAUUGUGAAGAAGAGGCCCUCCCACAGCAGCGUUCAACAGCUGAGCGGAGAGGUGCCUAUAAAGUGUGAUGAUGUUGCUGUGUAUUUCUCUAUGGAGGAGUGGGAGUAUAUAGAGGAACACAAGGAGCUUUACAAGGAC